Molecule: long non-coding RNA, 450 nt
Organism: Bos taurus (domestic cattle)
Lineage: Eukaryota; Metazoa; Chordata; Mammalia; Artiodactyla; Bovidae
Source: Ensembl
GGGACACAGACGAAUGCAACAUGGUCCUUGCCCCUCACCACACCCCCUGUCUCCCCUGGUCUCCUGUCUCCAUCUCUCCUCACCAGGUUCUUCCUCUGUAACAUGGGAGUCCUCCUUGUGGCAGGCAGAAUUGAGGUCCCAUCCCCUGAGUGUGUGGGAAGCUGCAGGUGUGAAGGUUGAAAGGCACUUGGGGAGCAGCAUGGGAGAGAAGUGGGCUGAAGAGGACGAAGAGGAAGGAGAGACAAGGCAGCCGCCAGGAGGAGAGGCCCUGGGAAAAGGGUGUCGAUGUUUAUGGGGGUAUCAGGAUGGACCAGGUGACGCUGAGGUUUACCUCUUUCUUGGAGGUCUAUUUCUGGGCUGAGUCUUGAAAGGGCUACGUGGAGCUAAUCACGAGUGUUAACCAGAGAAGUGCUGCCAGCACCUCAGUUGCCUUAUCAGCCAAAUCAGGAG